This 668-nucleotide long non-coding RNA is filed under the name Mus musculus (house mouse). RNAcentral describes it as "RIKEN cDNA A130030D18 gene (A130030D18Rik)". Lineage: Eukaryota; Metazoa; Chordata; Mammalia; Rodentia; Muridae. The record is from RNAcentral.
AGUUCCUGCUAAAGUCAUCUCAGAACCACAGUCUCCAAAGAAAUUAAUUGUUGCAGAAAGAUAUUUCAGGGAAUGAACAGGAAAUGUUUGAAAAGCAGCAACUUAAGUUGAAAUGCCUGGUUUAUUUGGAAGCACGGUUCAAAGAAUGCUGUCCAUAUGGUGUAAAUCCUGGCACUGAGAAGCUGCUUAUUCAGUGCUCCACUAUUCAGGAACUAGAGGAAAGGAGGACGACCUUUCCAGUGAGUGAAAAAAAAAAAAAUGAUAUAAUGGAGAAAUUAGAGCAAUAUUGCAACUGCACUAGAGCUGCCAUUGCCAAAAGACAUGAGCACUUCCAUUAUGGACUAAUGCCAAAAUUGCACAUCGUAUAUUAGAAAUUAUGUCUGCUGAUACUUCUCCUUUCCACUGGCACUCACAUGUUCUUCCAUUGUACAUGAGGAACAAAAUCAAGCUUUUGUAACUAAAAGAACUUUUGGACAAUGCAAAUACAACUGUACAUAUGACUUCAGAGUCACUUUUCAAAUUGAACUUUUUUACAAACCAUGUGAUAGAUUUUUAUCCUAUUAGAAAGUAUGACUUUGAAAAGAGUCUUAAAUAUGUAUCUGUAAAGAAAUUAAACAAAGUUGUAAUACUUUAACAUAAAAGUCUGAAAAAUAUUAAAAGAGCCAAAA